UUACAAUCUGUGAAACUGAUCUUCCCGUGAAGAAGCGGGAAUCACGAUACUAGACGAGAAGACCCCAUGAAGCUUCAAACUAACCGCAACUUACUGUAUCCACAGCACCCUAACUACAAGCAAGUAAUGACCACUAGUUUUUGGUUGGGGUAACCGCGGAGUAAAAUAUACCCUCCAUAGUGAAAGGGGCCCCCCCCCCUAAUUCAAGAACCACGCCUCUAAAAAUCAGUAUACUGACAAAUCUGACCCAAAUAUUUGAUCAAUGAACCAAGUUACUCUGGGGAUAACAGCGCAAUCUAUUUUGAGAGUCCGUAUUGACAAAUGGGUUUACGACCUCGAUGUUGGAUCAGGGUACCCCAGUGGUGCAACGCUACUAAA
RNAcentral lists this ribosomal RNA (378 nucleotides) under Arthroleptis formosus. RNAcentral describes it as "partial 16S ribosomal RNA". It matches the Rfam family "Bacterial large subunit ribosomal RNA", at positions 2027 to 2569 of the family's 2925-position model. Lineage: Eukaryota; Metazoa; Chordata; Amphibia; Anura; Arthroleptidae. The record is from RNAcentral.